GAGUUUGAUCCUGGCUCAGAUUGAACGCUGGCGGCAGGCCUAACACAUGCAAGUCGAGCGGUAACAGAAAGUAGCUUGCUACUUUGCUGACGAGCGGCGGACGGGUGAGUAAUGCCUGGGAAUAUGCCUUGAUGUGGGGGAUAACUAUUGGAAACGAUAGCUAAUACCGCAUAAUGUCUUCGGACCAAAGAGGGGGAUCUUCGGACCUCUCGCGUCAAGAUUAGCCCAGGUGAGAUUAGCUAGUUGGUGGGGUAAGAGCUCACCAAGGCGACGAUCUCUAGCUGGUCUGAGAGGACGAUCAGCCACACUGGAACUGAGACACGGUCCAGACUCCUACGGGAGGCAGCAGUGGGGAAUAUUGCACAAUGGGCGAAAGCCUGAUGCAGCCAUGCCGCGUGUAUGAAGAAGGCCUUCGGGUUGUAAAGUACUUUCAGUCGUGAGGAAGGGUGUGCAGUUAAUAGCUGUACAUCUUGACGUUAGCGACAGAAGAAGCACCGGCUAACUCCGUGCCAGCAGCCGCGGUAAUACGGAGGGUGCGAGCGUUAAUCGGAAUUACUGGGCGUAAAGCGCAUGCAGGUGGUUCAUUAAGUCAGAUGUGAAAGCCCGGGGCUCAACCUCGGAACCGCAUUUGAAACUGGUGAACUAGAGUGCUGUAGAGGGGGGUAGAAUUUCAGGUGUAGCGGUGAAAUGCGUAGAGAUCUGAAGGAAUACCAGUGGCGAAGGCGGCCCCCUGGACAGACACUGACACUCAGAUGCGAAAGCGUGUGGAGCAAACAGGAUUAGAUACCCUGGUAGUCCACGCCGUAGACGAUGUCUACUCUGGAGGUUGUGGCCUUGAGCCGUGGCUUUCGGAGCUAACGCGUUAAGUANNNNUAGACCGCCUGGGGAGUACGGUCGCAAGAUUAAAACUCAAAUGAAUUGACGGGGGCCCGCACAAGCGGUGGAGCAUGUGGUUUAAUUCGAUGUAACGCGAAGAACCUUACCUGCUCUUGACAUCCACAGAAGAGACCAGAGAUGGACUUGUGCCUUCGGGAACUGUGAGACAGGUGCUGCAUGGCUGUCGUCAGCUCGUGUUGUGAAAUGUUGGGUUAAGUCCCGCAACGAGCGCAACCCUUAUCCUUGUUUGCCAGCACGUAAUGGUGGGAACUCCAGGGAGACUGCCGGUGAUAAACCGGAGGAAGGUGGGGACGACGUCAAGUCAUCAUGGCCCUUACGAGUAGGGCUACACACGU
This 1232-nucleotide ribosomal RNA is filed under the name uncultured bacterium. RNAcentral's name for it is "bacterial SSU rRNA". It matches the Rfam family "Bacterial small subunit ribosomal RNA", at positions 9 to 1223 of the family's 1533-position model. The record is from RNAcentral.